UACGGGAGGCAGCGGUGGGGAAUAUUGCACAAUGGGCGCAAGCCUGAUGCAGCCAUGCCGCGUGUAUGAAGAAGGCCUUCGGGUUGUAAAGUACUUUCAGUCGUGAGGAAGGUGUUAAGGUUAAUAACCUUAGCAAUUGACGUUAGCGACAGAAGAAGCACCGGCUAACUCCGUGCCAGCAGCCGCGGUAAUACGGAGGGUGCGAGCGUUAAUCGGAAUUACUGGGCGUAAAGGGCACGCAGGCGGUUAAUUAAGUUGGAUGUGAAAUCCCCGGGCUUAACCUGGGAAUGGCAUUCAAGACUGGUUAGCUAGAGUCUUGUAGAGGGGGUAGAAUUCCAUGUGUAGCGGUGAAAUGCGUAGAGAUGUGGAGGAAUACCGGUGGCGAAGGCGGCCCCUGGACAAAGACUGACACUCAUGUGCGAAAGCGUGGGGAGCAAACAGGGAUUAGAUA
Molecule: ribosomal RNA, 451 nt
Filed under: uncultured bacterium
Lineage: Bacteria
Description: bacterial SSU rRNA
Rfam family: Bacterial small subunit ribosomal RNA
Source: RNAcentral